UACGUAGGGGGCAAGCGUUGUCCGGAUUCACUGGGCGUAAAGCGCACGUAGGCGGUUCGUUAAGUCGGAUGUGAAAUCCCUGGGCUCAACCUGGGAGCUGCAUUCGAUACUGGCGAACUUGAGUAUGAUAGAGGGGGGUGGAAUUCCAGGUGUAGCGGUGAAAUGCGUAGAUAUCUGGAGGAACAUCAGUGGCGAAGGCGGCCCCUGGAUCAAUACUGACGCUGAGGUGCGAAAGCGUGGGGAGC
RNAcentral lists this ribosomal RNA (245 nucleotides) under uncultured bacterium. RNAcentral's name for it is "partial 16S ribosomal RNA". It matches the Rfam family "Bacterial small subunit ribosomal RNA", at positions 524 to 769 of the family's 1533-position model. The record is from RNAcentral.